UAGGGAAUCUUCGGCAAUGGACGAAAGUCUGACCGAGCAACGCCGCGUGAGUGAAGAAGGUUUUCGGAUCGUAAAACUCUGUUGUUAGAGAAGAACAAGGACGUUAGUAACUGAACGUCCCCUGACGGUAUCUAACCAGAAAGCCACGGCUAACUACGUGCCAGCAGCCGCGGUAAUACGUAGGUGGCAAGCGUUGUCCGGAUUUAUUGGGCGUAAAGCGAGCGCAGGCGGUUUCUUAAGUCUGAUGUGAAAGCCCCCGGCUCAACCGGGGAGGGUCAUUGGAAACUGGUAGACUUGAGUGCAGAAGAGGAGAGUGGAAUUCCAUGUGUAGCGGUGAAAUGCGUAGAUAUAUGGAGGAACACCAGUGGCGAAGGCGGCUCUCUGGUCUGUAACUGACGCUGAGGCUCGAAAGCGUGGGGAGCAAACAGG
Molecule: ribosomal RNA, 429 nt
Filed under: Gemmatimonadota bacterium
Lineage: Bacteria; Pseudomonadati; Gemmatimonadota
Description: Gemmatimonadetes bacterium partial 16S ribosomal RNA
Rfam family: Bacterial small subunit ribosomal RNA
Source: RNAcentral